UGUAGAAACAGCUGGUCAACGCUAUUAUUUGCAAACACUAUGAGCGGUGAAACACCAGAAAAACGUGCAAAAUAUGAGCGGACGACGCAGGAGCAGCUGCAAUUUUAUGUGCAGUUUUGUAGGGAGCAUCCGGAGCUGC
Rhagoletis zephyria (snowberry fruit fly) is the source of this 139-nucleotide long non-coding RNA. RefSeq lists it as uncharacterized. The record is from RefSeq and is a predicted model, not a curated record. Lineage: Eukaryota; Metazoa; Arthropoda; Insecta; Diptera; Tephritidae.